This 315-nucleotide ribosomal RNA is filed under the name uncultured bacterium. RNAcentral's name for it is "bacterial SSU rRNA". It matches the Rfam family "Bacterial small subunit ribosomal RNA", at positions 28 to 334 of the family's 1533-position model. The record is from RNAcentral.
GAUGAACGCUAGCUACAGGCUUAACACAUGCAAGUCGAGGGGCAGCAUGGUCUUAGCUUGCUAAGGCCGAUGGCGACCGGCGCACGGGUGAGUAACACGUAUCCAACCUGCCGUCUACUCUUGGACAGCCUUCUGAAAGGAAGAUUAAUACAAGAUGGCAUCAUGAGUCCGCAUGUUCACAUGAUUAAAGGUAUUCCGGUAGACGAUGGGGAUGCGUUCCAUUAGAUAGUAGGCGGGGUAACGGCCCACCUAGUCUUCGAUGGAUAGGGGUUCUGAGAGGAAGGUCCCCCACACUGGUACUGAGACACGGACCAG